RNAcentral lists this small RNA (494 nucleotides) under Histoplasma capsulatum. Its description in RNAcentral is "hypothetical RNA". RNAcentral also lists the same sequence under 1 other name. Lineage: Eukaryota; Fungi; Ascomycota; Eurotiomycetes; Onygenales; Ajellomycetaceae. The record is from RNAcentral.
CACCGUUGGCAUGGAUUUCAAACCCAAAGCGUGAACAUGGUUCUAAAUCCCUCCUCCUCUACCUAGGACUGCUAGGUUAGGAUUUUUGAUGAAGAAAUAUCAAAGAUGGGCUGCCGUAGAUUCAUUCAAUGGAUGGUUUGGGCGCGCAAACCGGCGCUUAAGCUUUGCCUGGUGAACCUUGACCAUAUACGUAUCUAUCUAUCAAUCUAUACAUGAACCUUGAUCCUUACAAUAACUCAUUUGGAACAUAUCUUUCCCCCCAAGAACAUCCCGACACAGUAUGGAGUUCGUUAUCAAUCACUACGUAUCACACACAUCACAAGCGUUGUAUCGUCGAUACGGUACGCGGAAUUGCCUGCCCAGAGCCUGCCAAGCAGCCCAUUUCCACUCUCCGACCCGAUGUUCUGUGCAAAUUGGCCCCUUUGCCGGCUUGGUCGGAUCGAGGAACUGUAAUUUAUUCUUUCGGUGCACUGCAACUCUUACUUACAAUUCCC